CACUCUUAAAAAACCCAAUAUCCACCUGUGCACUUUCUGUAGGCAUGUUUGCCUAUGCAUUUUUUACACACACCAUGUUAUAUUUGAAUGCCUUUGAUUAACCAAUUGUAAAACAACUUUCAACAAUGGAUCUCUUGGUUCUCGCAUCGAUGAAGAACGCAGCGAAUUGCGAUAUGUAAUGUGAAUUGCAGAAUUCAGUGAAUCAUCGAAUCUUUGAACGCACAUUGCACCCUCUGGUAUUCCAGAGGGUAUGCCUGUUUGAGUGUCAUUAAUAUCUCAACACAGUCAAGUUAUUUGACUUGCACUGAUGCUUGGAUGCUGAAGGUUGCUGGCAAUAUUUGUCAGCUCCUUUUAAAUGUAUUAGCAGAAACCGAUGCAAAAAGCUGGCUUCAGUUUGAUAAGCACUUAUCUGUAUUGCUGUUGCUAGUGAAAUGCCCUUGUUUCAGCUUCCAAUUGUCCAAGCCCUUGGACUGCCUCUCGGGGUAAUUCAAUCUUGACACUUGACCUCAAAUCAGGUAGGACUACCCGCUGAACUUAAGCAUAUCAAUAAGCGGAGGAAAAGAAACUAACAAGGAUUCCCCCAGUAACUGCGAGUGAAGAGGGAAGAGCUCAAAUUUAAAAUCUGGCAGUCUCUGGCUGUCCGAGUUGUAAAUUAGAGAAGUGUUAUCCGCGCUGGACUGUGCAUAAGUUCCUUGG
This 696-nucleotide ribosomal RNA is filed under the name uncultured fungus. RNAcentral's name for it is "eukaryotic LSU rRNA". The stretch from base 115 to 268 matches the Rfam family "5.8S ribosomal RNA". The record is from RNAcentral. Lineage: Eukaryota; Fungi.